This is a non-coding RNA of Drosophila suzukii, 3719 nucleotides long. The record is from RefSeq and is a predicted model, not a curated record. Lineage: Eukaryota; Metazoa; Arthropoda; Insecta; Diptera; Drosophilidae.
UCUCCCUCAACGGUCACUCUAGCGGCCACCUUUGAACAACAACAGCACGCGUCGCGUCUCUCCGCCUUUCUCCUUUUUUUUUUACUCUACACUCUCCUGGCAUUUUACUCACGAUUCCGUGUCGCGCGUGAUUGAAUUGGGAAUUGGCAAGCGAGAAAACACAGUGUGCGCGCAGUGUCAACAACAAACACAAAGUUAAAAACACCCGGACAACGAUAACUACAUACAAAUUCCAAAAGGCAAGAAGCAGACGCCAGCGAGCGAGCAAGAGGCAGGACCUUCGCAGCGAGCGAGAAAAGGAUCGAGAGAGCUGAUCAACGGGAAACAGGGUGACAUGUGGAGUCCGACGCACUGCAGUGUAACGGUGCAGCGAGCGCGGGGGCUGCUCACCAAGGGCAAGAAUGGCACCAACAACUGCUUCGUCACCAUCGCGCUGGGCAAGGAGAAGUACCAGACGUCCGUUAAAGACAAGGCCGAGACGAGCGUCAACUGGAACGAGGAGUGCGAGCUGAAAAUCCCCGACCAGGGCAAUCGCGCUGAGCUCACCUUGACCUGCCUGCACAGGAACAAUCUGGGCAUCGAUGAGUUCCUCGGCCAGGCCUCGCUGCCCCUUAACGAGAUGGAUGUGUACGACCGGCCACGCGCCAAGUGGUUCAAGCUGGAGAGCAAGCCCGGCAAAGAGAAGAAGAACAAGGAGCGCGGCGAGCUGGAGGUGCGCAUCGCCUUCGUGGUCAAGUCCGGCUCGCUGACCGACCUCAGCAAGAAGGACAAGCACAAGUCUUCCAUCGGCCAGCUGGCCAGCUCCGUGGGCGGCAGCCUGCUGUCCAUCGGCAACGGCGAGAAGCGGCGCAGCAUCAGGAAGCUGGCUGGGUCGAUUAGCUCCAAGCUGCACAUCGGCGGCAGGAAGAAGCACCCGGAGGCUGGGGGCGAUGACAGCAGCUCCUUCGGCGGAUCCUUUGCCAGCCUGGGCACGCCCAACAGCUCCAACGGCAGGGGCCAGAACGGCGGCAGUGGGCGACGACGCGGCGGCCAGCGGGCGGGCGAGGCCGAUCCCGGCGUGAUCAGCGAGGACGAGGACGAGUUCGUGUUCGACAACCUCUCACACAAGAGCUCGGGCAGCUCGCUCAACAUCCAACGCACCGGCCUUCAGCCGCCGCAAGUCGGAACGCCCAACUUUGCGCCGCGCCACCCAUCGCCCCUGCUGAACAACGGAUUGGCCGGCGUAGGAAGCGGCAGCGGGAAAGGUAAGCCAGCGGUUUUGCCAGUGACGCUCGAUGAGGACGCGCCCAUCGACGCGGAGAUGGAACAGCUUGAGCUCGAUUUCAGUGUCCGUGCCCACGCCCGCGCCAACGCCAGCGGUAGCGCCAGCACCCUGCCGCCUCCCUCGAAGCCGCCGCGCAUCCCUUUGUCGCAGGCCGACGAGCAGCCGGCUGCUGGAAGCCUGGAGCGGGAGAAGCCCAGGGAGAAGCCAACCGAGCCGGAGAACGCCAAAGAUGAGUGGGCAUCAAAGUUGUAUGGCAGUGGCAAGUACCUGGAGAUCGGUAGCAGUGACUCCUUGAAACGCCGCAGCUGGGAGGAUCGGGUCCCACUGCCGGCCAGUGUCGAAGAGCCGCCACCAGUCCCCUCUUCCAGCUCAUCGUCUAGUUCCAGCUCGGAUAGCGAGGACGACGACGAGCACCCGCCGCAGACUGCUCCACCACCAGUGCCUGUGUCUGUGCCCGUGCCUGCCACUAUUCCCGUUCCGUCCGCUGCUGCUGAGCCAGUAGUGGCCACCUCCUCCUCGCUCUUCUCCCCCGAUGGGGAGCACCGCAACUUUGAUACGUUCAACGCCAGCUUCGCCAAGUUCGAGCAGCGCAACAGCACGGCCAUCUUUUCAGAUGAACCCGAGCUGGAAGACCUGACCGUGGAGCUGGAGAAGCCGGCGGCUACACCCACACCCACAGCACGCCCCAAGCCACAGCCUCGUGCCACGGCAGAUCUGAGGGCAGAGGAGGAGAAAACCAAGGAAGAGGCUGCACGGCAACAGCGCGCCGAGGAAGAUGCCCGCUUGGAGGCGGAGCUGCGCCUGAAUGAGGAGCGUCUGCGCGAGGAGGAGGCAGCUAUGCAGAGAGAGCUGGAGGAGGAGAAGGAGCGCCAGAAGCAGAUGCACUUGGACGAGCAGCAGAGACGCGAGGCCAAGCGCAGGGAGGAAGACCAAAGACUUCUAAGCUUCGCCAAACGAUCCACUUCCCUAGAGGAGCCAGUUCCAGAGAAAGAGGAGCUGAAGCAUGAUAGGGAGCUUGUGCCGAAAGAGGAGCCAGAAGUUGAAUCGCCAGAGCCGGAGCACAACUUCCUCACGCCCGAGCAGUCGCCCAAGGAGUUCCAGACGAAUGGCAGCGGCAGUGGAAGCGGAGAGCGCUGGGAAAAGCGGCUGGGCAAGUUCAAAUACGGCAACAAGCGAGAUAAAUACAACAACGACAACGAGAGCAACUCGCCUAGUCCCAAGUCCACGGAGCGCAUAAUUAUUGGCCACGAGAAGUCUGGAUCACAUGCGGAGCGACGCUCGGAGAUAUCCGCCCAGCUAGCCAAGAAAUACGAGGGCAAGUCCCGGGAGGAACUAAUGCUAAUUGCCAACGGAAUGGAGAACGAGGCUUUGCUGCAACGGCAGCGCGUAAAAGAGUUGGAGGAUUACCUGGACAACCUGCUGCUGCGCGUGAUGGAGACGCACCCGAAGAUCUUGCAGAAUCCCUAUUCACGCACCACGUCCGCCAAGAGGUACGCCACCUGGUCGUUCUGGUCGCCCACCCGGGCCACGCCCACCCACUAACCAACUGCAUGACCCUGACCGCCGUUAUAAAAAUUACAUCAAUAUGAAUGACUUUCUAAAGUAAGUGCUGCGCGCAUGUUGCAACUUGCAUUUAAGUAGACACUUAACCAACAAACCCCCAACAACAACAACAACAUCACCACCAACACCACAACCCCCAACUACAACAACUGCGAGACGCGAGUAACAAGAACUGAGGCGACUCUGGCUGAAAAAGAGAAGGAACAACUAAGGCGGGAUCGAAGUAAGAACGGCUAACUGGAGCCAAACUGGUCAUCGCCACCAACCGGUCCACUGGUCCCAGAACAGCUGGAGGAGAUCGGCGGAGCCUCCGGGUGCAAUUUAUGUGAACGCAUCGAAACACUAAUCCAACACAAUGUUGCCUUUGUCGUGAACAGCGAAAUUCAAGUGCUUUCUAAACCGUAUUGCUAAGAAGGGGAAACUAAAUGUGCACACAGAGCAUACUUGCUUAAGGAGUGUAACGUUUUAUUGAUAUUUUCGUAGCAUUCGUCGUUUUAUGUUUGCCCCCUACUAAAUCGAACUAAAUUAAUUGUACUAUAUACUACUAUGUUGUGCCUGGCAAUGCUAGGCCACUGAUUUGCCUUUAUUCGAGUCCCUUGUCGAUUGAUUGAAAUUAUCCAAGAGUAUUUUGUUUAUUUUUUUGUAUGUCCGUAUUUUUUGUAACAUUGUGCAAAGAAGAGUUUUAAAAUUUUUGUAAAGUGCUGCGAGGAAAGUGGCCUUAGUGGAAUAAGUUUUAAAUUAUUUAUGUUUUAGCGCCUAAGCGAAAGGGGGGAGGGGGACAGACCUGUGUCCCCUGCGAAAACACCACACACAGUUGAAAUAUGUUGAUACUACAAUGAUUUUACUUAUUGAUAUACACGCAAACGGAAUAAAACCAUUUUUAACAUUAAAA